Molecule: small RNA, 560 nt
Filed under: Pan troglodytes (chimpanzee)
Lineage: Eukaryota; Metazoa; Chordata; Mammalia; Primates; Hominidae
Description: processed transcript
Source: RNAcentral
GAAUGGUGAAAGAGAUGGGAGACUGGCAGGGCUCUAGACUAGGGCCUAUGGGAAGAUGGAGAGAAAGGCGAGGAGAUACGGAACUUGAGGGGUUCGUGCUGAUUAACGGGAGAAAUUAUUCUGAAGUUGAGAAGUAGUUGGGAUCAUGGAGGCCAACCCACCGGCUCCUUGGCUUUACUUCAUUUGGUGUUUUUCACCUGUUGUUUUCAUUUAGGAGCCUGUGGUGCUGACCGACACAAAUCUUGUGUAUCCUGCCCUGAAAUGGGACCUUGAAUACCUGCAAGAGAAUAUUGGCAAUGGAGACUUCUCUGUGUACAGUGCCAGCACCCACAAGUUCUUGUACUAUGAUGAGAAGAAGAUGGCCAAUUUCCAGAACUUUAAGCCGAGGUCCAACAGGGAAGAAAUGAAAUUUCAUGAGUUCGUUGAGAAACUGCAGGAUAUACAGCAGCGAGGAGGGGAAGAGAGGUUGUAUCUGCAGCAAACGCUCAAUGACACUGUGGGCAGGAAGAUUGUCAUGGACUUCUUGGGUUUUAACUGGAACUGGAUUAAUAAGCAACAGG